Molecule: non-coding RNA, 1870 nt
Organism: Callithrix jacchus (white-tufted-ear marmoset)
Lineage: Eukaryota; Metazoa; Chordata; Mammalia; Primates; Cebidae
Source: RefSeq, a predicted model, not a curated record
UUUGUUUGUGACCAGCUACAAACAUUUUGCAGCGUUUUACUAAACGUUUAUUAUAUGUGACAACGUGAAGUGUUGUCACAUAUAAUAUCUCGUUUGAUCCUUACAUAAGUCCCGACGUGGGCAGAACACUUACUAGUAUCCUCCUUUUAUGGACAAGGAAACAGAGAAAGUUUAGAGACUUGAUCCAGCUUAACAAAAGUAGGAAAUGGGGGAACUGGAGAAUGACUCCAGGAUUUCUUACUAAGCAGUAUAUGGUCAUUUAAACACUACCACUCUUACGGUCGCUUUUAAUUUUUUCCUGUGUGAUCUACAGUGAGAGUCUGUUUUGCUUUGGUAUUCACGACUUGUGUUGCUGACAUUUUCCUGAAAGAGCGGUCAGGGUGCUUUAUUAGACUUGAAAAAGUUUACCUAAAUCAGAAAAUAAAUCUAAUGAAGCAAGUUUUGCUCAAGAAGGAUUUUGAGUAAAAAGGUGGAAUUUAUCUUGGUGGAAGAAAGCAAGUAUCCCUACAUACAAUGCAGUUCAGACAGAAAACUCGAAAGGUGAUGCCCAGACCUAGAAAAAGGAUCUUUUAAGGCAUAAUGUAUCAACCAGAAAGAAUUACUGUGAGGAUUAAAUGAGAUUUACCAGCAAAGUACACUCUAUUUAGUAAGCUAUGAAAAGAAUAAGUUCCUUGCUUUUUCUCCUCCAGUCCAUCCCACAACCUUAUUGUUUCACUCAGCUUUCUUUAUCUUACAAUUUUAGCUAUUUUUAUAUCACUUUCUAAUUACAUCAUUUUAUAUCUUUUCCCAACUAAUUUGAUUAAUUUUUAUAAACUGUAAGCCAAAAGCAUAGAGAUAAGGGAAAUAGCCAUCAGAAUAAUCUAUUCACUAAACAAGAAAUGCUGACUAUCUAUUUCUCUCCAAAUAGCUUAGCAAGGUCUUCCAAACUUAAGACUCAUAUAACAAAUAUUCAUUGAGUAACUACUAUGUACCAACUACAUAGUAGACUUAAUGUAUUCAGCAUUGAGACAGACAUAAUUCCACCACUAAAGGACUUUACAAGCCAAUGCAAAAGACAGAAUAAGUGAACAAAAAAAAUUGCAGUAUAGUAUAAUAAGUAUAGGAGAAAAGCAUUGAGUAAUACAGGAGUACAAAGAAAGGGCACUCAUUUCAAUCAGCGGAAGCUUCUAAAUAGGGUAAUAUCUAAGCUGAGACCUGAAUGUGAAUAAUGUGUAGAAGUUAGCUGGGAGAAUGGCGUGGAGAUUGUUAUAAAGUUAGAAAUGGACCGCUAAGGCUAGGCAUGGUGACUCACACCUGUAAUUCCAACACUUUGGGAGGCCAAUGCAAGAGGAUUGCUUGAGCCCAGGAGUUCAAGGUGCAGUGAGCUAUGAUUGCACCACUGCACUCCAGCCUGGGCAGCAAAGUGACUCCUUGUCAGAGAGGAAAAAAGGAAGGAGGAAGGAUGGGGAAGAAGGAAAAAGAAGAAGAAAGAAGAAAAGAGGAGUAGAAAAUAAAUUUAUUUUGUGGAUUGUUAAAAAUUACAAAUAUUCUGUGCAGCUUAGGACAGAGUGACUGAAAGAGAUGAGGAUGGAGUGAAGGCUGGUUAGAUGGAGGUUACCUAAAUCAAGAAGGCUGUAUAUAUCUUGUAAAGUAAUUUCAACUUUAUCCUAAGGGAACUAUAGAAGGAUUUUAAGCAGAAAAGUAACUACCAGAUUUGUGUUUUAGAAAUACCACUAUGAUUACUGGGUUAAAAAAGAAAUGGAUCCACAGGGCAGAUCAGAGACAGGGAGACCUGAGGUUAUUGCAGUAAUCCAAUAGAGUUGUUGAAGUUUUGACUUAACAUCUCUAAAUUUCACUUUGUUAUCAAUAAAAUAGAUAAUGCCUACUUGUA